This is a long non-coding RNA of Amphimedon queenslandica, 276 nucleotides long. RefSeq lists it as uncharacterized. The record is from RefSeq and is a predicted model, not a curated record. The transcript is spliced from 3 exons. NCBI's taxonomy places the organism in Eukaryota, Metazoa, Porifera, Demospongiae, Haplosclerida, Niphatidae.
AAGCAUUCACCGUGGAAACUCCAUCAUUAUCAUCUGUUAUGCUCCACAUCAUUUACUAGCUGCUCUUCUCUUGGAAGCACAAGACAACCUAACUGUCUUGAUGAAGGAAUUCAGUUUAAUUAGACUAACCAUUGGCCACUACACUGUCUAUGAUAAAAGGAUCAGAUACAAAGUAAUGAAUAAUGAGUGUCUUGCAGAGGAGAUUAAACUAGCUGAUGGAGAGGAACAAGAACUGAGGACUUUACUUGAUUACAAAGAAGGAUCAAUAUUUGAACA